This 73-nucleotide transfer RNA is filed under the name bacterium. RNAcentral's name for it is "tRNA-Cys". It matches the Rfam family "tRNA". From Rfam's summary of the family: Transfer RNA (tRNA) molecules are approximately 80 nucleotides in length. Their secondary structure includes four short double-helical elements and three loops (D, anti-codon, and T loops). Further hydrogen bonds mediate the characteristic L-shaped molecular structure. tRNAs have two regions of fundamental functional importance: the anti-codon, which is responsible for specific mRNA codon recognition, and the 3' end, to which the tRNAs corresponding amino acid is attached (by aminoacyl-tRNA synthetases). tRNAs cope with the degeneracy of the genetic code in two manners: having more than one tRNA (with a specific anti-codon) for a particular amino acid; and 'wobble' base-pairing, i.e. permitting non-standard base-pairing at the 3rd anti-codon position. The record is from RNAcentral. RNAcentral also lists the same sequence under 6 other names.
GGCGGCGUACCCAAGUGGCUAAGGGGAAGGUCUGCAAAACCUUUAUUCGUGAGUUCGAUUCUCACCGCCGCCU